This 253-nucleotide ribosomal RNA is filed under the name uncultured bacterium. RNAcentral describes it as "partial 16S ribosomal RNA". It matches the Rfam family "Bacterial small subunit ribosomal RNA", at positions 524 to 776 of the family's 1533-position model. The record is from RNAcentral.
UACGUAGGUGACAAGCGUUGUCCGGAUUUACUGGGCGUAAAGAGCGCGCAGGCGGUCGAUCAAGUCGAGUGUGAAAGCCCCCGGCUCAACUGGGGAGGGUCAUUCGAUACUGAUCGACUCGAAGGCAGGAGAGGGUAGUGGAAUUCCCGGUGUAGUGGUGAAAUGCGUAGAUAUCGGGAGGAACACCCGUGGCGAAGGCGGCUCUCUGGGACGGUACUGACGCUGAGACGCGAAAGCGUGGGGAGCAAACAGG